UCUAGCCUAUGUAACCCAAUACUUUCAUGGUAUAUAAAAGAGAGUAGGUAUUAAAUACUGGCACAAAAAAAUUAGCAAUGUAUACUAAGGUGUUUCUACUAGCUGUCCUUUUUUGCCUGCUGGGAGCAGUCCUCUCCAGUCCUCUCAGAGGAAUUGUGUGCCACAGAUCCACGCCUCCGAAAUGCAUUGAAAGUAGGUAAAGAACUUAAUAAGUAAAAUGAAGUUUAUGCUUUUGCAAUGUAAAGAAUAAAGAAAAUGUAUGUGAAUCUA
Molecule: long non-coding RNA, 270 nt
Organism: Drosophila ficusphila
Lineage: Eukaryota; Metazoa; Arthropoda; Insecta; Diptera; Drosophilidae
Exons: 2
Source: RefSeq, a predicted model, not a curated record